This 132-nucleotide small nucleolar RNA is filed under the name Homo sapiens (human). Its description in RNAcentral is "small nucleolar RNA, H/ACA box 101B (SNORA101B)". The record is from RNAcentral. Lineage: Eukaryota; Metazoa; Chordata; Mammalia; Primates; Hominidae.
AGGUGAUUCUUUUUAUAUGCCCUUCUGAUCCCAAGUAUGGCAGAAGGAUAUAAAGGUCACCAAGAAUAAUUUGGAGGUUGCCAAGGACUUAUUUAAAAGUGUUUUCAAGUCCGACCGAGAACUCUGACAUUU